Molecule: ribosomal RNA, 301 nt
Filed under: uncultured bacterium
Lineage: Bacteria
Description: partial 16S ribosomal RNA
Rfam family: Bacterial small subunit ribosomal RNA
Source: RNAcentral
CAGUAGCCGCGGUAAUGCGAAGGGGGCUAGCGUUACUCGGAAUUACCGGGCGUAAAGGGCGCGUAGGCGGCACGAUUAGUCAGGCGUGAAAUUCCUGGGCUCAACCUGGGGACUGCGCUUGAUACGGUCGAGCUAGAGGAUGGAAGAGGGUUGUGGAAUUCCCAGUGUAGAGGUGAAAUUCGUAGAUAUUGGGAAGAACACCGGUGGCGAAGGCGGCAACCUGGUCCAUUACUGACGCUGAGGCGCGACAGCGUGGGGAGCAAACAGGAUUAGAUACCCCUGUAGUCCCUGUCUCUUAUAC